RNAcentral lists this long non-coding RNA (554 nucleotides) under Marmota monax (woodchuck). Lineage: Eukaryota; Metazoa; Chordata; Mammalia; Rodentia; Sciuridae. The record is from RNAcentral.
GGAGUCUCAUUAAAGAAGUCAGUUCUAACCUGAUAUGUUGGAGUUUUCAGCCAAUCCUCUUCAAAUCAUUUCAUAAAAUAGAAAAGAAGAUCUCUUCCAAACACAUUCUAUGAAGCUAGUAUUACCCUGAUACCAAAUCCAGACAAAGAUACAUCAAGGAAAGAAAACAUCAGACCAAUAUCCUUUAUGAACAUAGAUGCAAGAAUUCUCAAUAAAAUACUGGCAAUUGCAUACAAAAACACGUUGAAAAGAUAGUGCACCAUGAUCAAGUGGGUUUCAUUCCAGAUAUGUAAGCUUGGUUCAGGUACAAAAAUCAAUAAAUGUGUACCAUCUUCUUUUCAAAUUAGAUACAGGAAAACAGAACACAAGCAUAAGAUUAUUUUACUUUGUCUAGUCUCCCUAUCUCCAUACUCUAAUUGGAAUAAUGCUUUAUAACUUUCCAAGUUUAUAAGAAUUAAAUGAGAAGAUGAAUGAAAAAUUCAAGUGCAAUUUUGGCAUAUAUUGAGAAAAUAAUUCAUUUUUAAAGGAUUUCAAAUAAAUAGUUUUUUGUCCUC